GGAAGGAUCAUUACUGAGCUAAUGUUCCGUCCCGAGCCUUUGGCGCUGCCUCUGGACCGACCGCGCGCAACAAAUGUGGUGGGUCUUGCCAAAGCGUUCGCCCAGUGGGUGGGAAACCCUCGCUGGGAGUGACCGGUGGGAAACCGCGAUCCCGCUGUUCGCAUACGAUCCCUUCUCUGGUUGGAAGCCACGAUCUGACUAGAGACGCAUUCUUACGCCUGACAAGGGGAGUUAUUCCUGGUCAGGUUCAGGUACCUAUGCUGGAGAGGCGGAUGCCACUAGACACUCGCUCCUGCCGCAACUGUUUCUGGCGAGGAGAAGGUUUAAUGAGCGGCGGAUCUUGCCGACACCUGAGACCCUUUACGAUUUCAAUUUUUUUCAAAGGCUCGUGAGGGCCGAAAAACUACUAUUCUAAGCGGUGGAUCACUAGGCUCGUGGGUCGAUGAAGAACGCAGCCAGCUGCGAGACCUAAUGUGAAUUGCAGACACAUUGAUCAUCGACAUUUUGAACGCAUAUUGCGGCGUUGGGUAUCAUUCCCAACGCCACGUCUGUCUGAGGGUCGAUUUAUCGACAGCAAUUGUUUGGCCCGAGACGCGAUGUGGAACCUUUCGCCCGCUAGGUUCCGUCUCGAGCUGGGCAGAAAUGGUGAGCUGCUGAACCCGCCCGGAGUCCUCCGUGGGCGCUGUGCGCCUCUACAGCGGUAAAACUCGAUACAGCCUGCGCAAGACUCGGUUCAGUACCUCGCUUGAGUACAGAUGGCCAUGGUCUCGUCUAUGGCAUCCUUCUACGCAUUGGAGACGGCGGUCGUCCUCUGUCCUGAAUCUUACAGAGUGCCCUGGCGAAUGCUGAAUCCAUUCACGACCUCAGAUCAGGCGUGAUUACCCGCUGAAUUUAAGCAUAUAACUAGGCGGAGGAAAAGAAACUAACAAGGAUUCCCCCAGUAAUGGCGAGUGAACGGGGAAGAGCCCAGCACCGAAUCCCUUAGCGCAUGCUGAUGGGACCUGUGGUGUAUAGGAGAGCACGUCUGGUGCUGCAGCCAUUCCUAAUUCCUCUUGACCGGGGAUCCCGCAGAAGGUGCAAGGCCUGUGCGGAUGGUGGCGGCGCCAGUAUGAGCCUCCCUGGAGUCGGGUUGCUUGAAAGUGCAGCCCAAAGCGGGUGGUAAACCCCAUCUAAGGCUAAAUAUGACCACGAGACCGAUAGCAAACAAGUACCGCGAGGGAAAGUUGCAAAGAAAAAAAAAAAAAAAAAAAAAAAAAAAAAAACUUUGAAGAGAGAGUUCAAGAGGACGUGAAACCGCUUGGAAGCAACAGGUGGACCCGGCGUUAGUCCACUGGAUUCAGCCUACUCUUACUCAGCGCGUCGGCGUUCGAUUUAUCGACGGCCUCUCCCGGCGUUGCCUGGGUUUGAUGGGUGCAUUUCCAGCGGAUGCGCACCAAGGGCGGCUGGCGAGCAGCGUGAAGCGGUCAGGAGAGGGCUGGUGCUUCGGCACCGGUGUCCGACUCCCGUGGAAUGCGUGUUUCGUCGGCCGUGACUCUUUGGCGCCCGCCCUUGACUUGGCUUCCGUGGAAGCUUGGGGAACCGACCGGUCCGGUGUUCCUGUCUCAGGACCCGGCAAAACCCUCCCUAGCCCACUGCAGAUCCCGAGCCGGCGCCUCACUUUGGUGUUCCAGUCGGAAACCCACCUGACCCGUCUUGAAACACGGACCAAGGAGUCUAACAUGUGCGCGAGUUAUUGGGUUGCAAAACCUAAAGGCGUAAUGAACGUGAAGACUGGUUCGGCCAGUUGAUGUGGGAUCCCGGGCUUCGGCCUGGGCGCACCAUAGUCCCAUCUCAUCUGCCAUCGCCAGAGAGGUGGAGAUAGAGCGUACACGUUGGGACCCGAAAGAUGGUGAACUAUGCCUGAGCAGGACGAAGCCAGAGGAAACUCUGGUGGAGGUCCGAAACGGUUCUGACGUGCAAAUCGAUCGUCAGACUUGGGUAUAGGGGCGAAAGACUAAUCGAACCAUCUAGUAGCUGGUUCCCUC
This 2024-nucleotide unclassified non-coding RNA is filed under the name uncultured fungus. RNAcentral describes it as "sequence contains 18S rRNA gene, ITS1, 5.8S rRNA gene, ITS2, 28S rRNA gene". The stretch from base 859 to 2024 matches the Rfam family "Eukaryotic large subunit ribosomal RNA", at positions 1 to 961 of the family's 3401-position model. The record is from RNAcentral. Lineage: Eukaryota; Fungi.